Molecule: ribosomal RNA, 559 nt
Filed under: uncultured bacterium
Lineage: Bacteria
Description: partial 16S ribosomal RNA
Rfam family: Bacterial small subunit ribosomal RNA
Source: RNAcentral
UGGGGAAUUUUGGACAAUGGGGGGAAACCCUGAUCCAGCCAUCCCGCGUGUGCGAUGAAGGCCUUCGGGUUGUAAAGCACUUUUGGCAGGAAAGAAACGUCGUGGGUUAAUACCCCGCGAAACUGACGGUACCUGCAGAAUAAGCACCGGCUAACUACGUGCCAGCAGCCGCGGUAAUACGUAGGGUGCAAGCGUUAAAUCGGAAUUACUGGGCGUAAAGCGUGCGCAGGCGGUUCGGAAAGAAAGAUGUGAAAUCCCAGAGCUUAACUUUGGAACUGCAUUUUUAACUACCGGGCUAGAGUGUGUCAGAGGGAGGUGGAAUUCCGCGUGUAGCAGUGAAAUGCGUAGAUAUGCGGAGGAACACCGAUGGCGAAGGCAGCCUCCUGGGAUAACACUGACGCUCAUGCACGAAAGCGUGGGGAGCAAAACAGGAUUAGAUACCCUGGUAGUCCACGCCCUAAAACGAUGUCAACUAGCUGUUGGGGUCUUCGGACCUUGGUAGCGCAGCUAACGCGUGAAGUUGACCGCCUGGGGAGUACGGUCGCAAGAUUAAAAACUU